RNAcentral lists this unclassified non-coding RNA (1026 nucleotides) under Athalia rosae (coleseed sawfly). RNAcentral's name for it is "misc RNA ENSAEAG00005004212.1". The record is from RNAcentral. Lineage: Eukaryota; Metazoa; Arthropoda; Insecta; Hymenoptera; Athaliidae.
UUCUACAUAAUCAAAGUCGGUGUCAAUAGCACAAUGAUAAUAGAUCGCUGAAGACCUGCCAAACGCGUGCAUAUUUGAUUUGCUAUUUCUGUCCGGUAUUUGACAUGUCGCAAAGAUGAUUCAGUAGUCGUCAAUGAUUAUUUGAGGACGAAACAGAUUCGGGUCCGAAAGAAUGUGUAAAUAAACCAAGCGAAGCAAUUGGAAAACAGACCCAAAGUUCGUCUGCGAGCCAUUGCAGCAAAAGUUUCGAGUAGUCCAGUAGCUGCCGCUGGUUCCAGAGUAUUGUUAGCAUCUGUACAGUCAAGACCUCUAGCCACACGUGCUCCUGCCACCAAAUGCCUCAGAACCUGGGUUCUGACUAAUCGUCUCUGCCUCCGCACACCGGCUUCAGCUUCUCUAGCAGCUCUACCCAGGUCUUCGCAGACACCAGUAACUUCUCCAUAAAUCUCUAACCCAGACAUGGAGAGGUAGUGGGUUUGGCCAGAUGAAUUUUUUCCAGUUUGCUGUAAACGCAGGUGACGCCAGCCCUGAACCUCUUCAGCAGGAGGUUCUAGGGUCCAAGUUGCAGUACUACCAGGUUCAUUAAGAGAGCAGUCAUCGACAUGUGUAUACAACGUUGUCCAGUUUAUACCAUCCUUGGAAACCUAUCAGAUUGUUGGUUUGAUUUAGAUUUGAAUAAAAUUUUAUAUUUCAUUGAUCUUAUCGAUCACGAAUGUGGGAAACGAUAUGAAUAAUGACAUUCGUUCAUCUACUUACUUGGAACAUCCAAUUUCUCAAAGCACUGCGACCAUAUCCUCUUGCAUGUCUCAAACUAUAAGCACUCGGAAUUAGCCACACACCUAAAUCCACCGAAAACCAAGCUCGUUUAUCGUCAUUUGUAUGACAAUUUAAAGCUGACGGAUCUCGACUAAGAAUGUCUUCGAGUCGACCAUAUGGCAAGAUGCGGCCAUCGCUGGAAGUUACCACAACUAAUCCAUAUUGCCCUGGGUUUACCCAUUCCGAACUGGUCCUGAAAUAAUGAAAUUG